GAGCGUCAUUGCAACCCUCAAGCACUGCUUGGUAUUGGAUGCUACCACAUGGUGCAUCUCAAAAAUAUUGGCAGUGGCAUUCAGCUUCUAGUGUAGUACUUUUUUCUCGCUUAGGAGUCUUUGAGUGUCUUACUGCUAGAAUCCUCUAAUUCAUCACAAAGGUUGACCUCGGAUCAGGUAGGGAUACCCGCUGAACUUAA
RNAcentral lists this unclassified non-coding RNA (200 nucleotides) under soil metagenome. RNAcentral's name for it is "partial contains internal transcribed spacer 2 and large subunit ribosomal RNA". The record is from RNAcentral.